GAAUCCCGUCUUUGACAUGGACUGCCUGUACAUUAUGGUGCGCUCUCAAAGAGUCGAGUUGUUUGGGAAUGCAGCUCAAAAUGGGUGGUAAAUGCCAUCUAAAGCUAAAUAUUGGCGAGAGACCGAUAGCGAACAAGUACCGUGAGGGAAAGAUGAAAAGAACUUUGGAAAGAGAGUUAAACAGUACGUGAAAUUGCUGAAAGGGAAACGCUUGAAGUCGGUCUCGUUGGCUAGAAAUCAGCCUUGCUUUUGCUUGGUGUACUUUCUGGUUGACGGGUCAGCAUCAAUUUUGACCAUUGGAUAAAGUCGUUGGGAAUGUGGCAUCUUCGGAUGUGUUAUAGCCCAUUGUCGCAUACAGUGGUUGGGAUUGAGGAACUCAGCACGCCGCAAGGCCGGGUUUCGACCACGUUCGUGCUCAGGAUGCUGGCAUAAUGGCUUUAAUCGACCCGUCUUGAAACACGGACCAAGGAGUCUAACAUGCCUGCGAGUGUUUGGGUGGAAAACCCAUGCGCGCAAUGAAAGUGAAAGUUGAGAUCCCCUCAGGGAGCAUUGACGCCCGGACCAGAAACUUUUGCGAAGGAUCCGCGGUAGAGCAUGUAUGUUGGGACCCGAAAGAUGGUGAACUAUGCCUGAAUAGGGUGAAGCCAGAGGAAACUCUGGUGGAGGCUCGUAGCGAUUCUGACGUGCAAAUCGAUCGUCAAAUUUGGGUAUAGGGGCGAAAGACUAAUCGAACCAUCUAGUAGCUGGUUCCUGCC
This 755-nucleotide ribosomal RNA is filed under the name uncultured Inocybe. RNAcentral's name for it is "partial 28S ribosomal RNA". It matches the Rfam family "Eukaryotic large subunit ribosomal RNA", at positions 216 to 962 of the family's 3401-position model. Lineage: Eukaryota; Fungi; Basidiomycota; Agaricomycetes; Agaricales; Cortinariaceae. The record is from RNAcentral.